Numida meleagris (helmeted guineafowl) is the source of this 3840-nucleotide long non-coding RNA. RefSeq lists it as uncharacterized. Lineage: Eukaryota; Metazoa; Chordata; Aves; Galliformes; Numididae. The record is from RefSeq and is a predicted model, not a curated record. The transcript has 2 exons.
GCAAAGCAGGUCAUGUGAGACUGGAACUGAUGACUUGCACUGGUCAUGUGAAACCACAGCCCUCCUUGGACUGCUCACUUCUUCUGGAGGUGCCUAAACUUGCAAGAUCCUUGAUUCAUUUGCUUUAACCACGCAUGUAGUGCAUUCAUCGAAGCUGUAAGGAGGCCAAGGUAUCUGCAACUGUGCUGCAGGACCUGUAGGAGACUCGUGAGCCUUUGGAGCAGGACCUGGAGGAUACUCAAGGACAUCUCCAAUGGGGCUGAAUGUUGUGUGCGGACAUCUGGAUUGAGACCUAGGCAUGUUGCUCUGCUUGGCUUCAUGUUUAUUUUUUGUUUGCCUUGGAAGCUGAAGCACCCUGCAUGCUCUCCUGUAUGCAUGCCUGAUCCUGCUCUAGUUGGCACAGUGCCCUCAGCAUUUUCACUGAGUGCUCAGAGCUAACUUCUACAUGUAAGUCAUGGCACUUCAGGCAAAAAAGAGCUUUACACUCGAUGGGUUGGAAGUGCAAGGACUCAGACCACCAGGCCUGUCUUCUCCAGUGAUGCUUUAAGGAAAGAGUGACUUUGGCUUCCAGACUUAGCUGUAAUCGGUGCUUCUGUGCCUCUGUAUGUGCCAGAGCAAAACUGCAGGUUGGCAGCUUGCUCUGACACAGGAACCGUUGCUCCUCCUGUUCCAGUAAUACUUUUUUUUUUCUGGACACCAGCGCUGAGAGGGUUGCAGCAAUAUCAUGUUUCUCAGCAUGGGCUGGGUUAUGUUGCUGCAGCUUUGAGAGACUCUAAAGUAGCUGUCUGUUCUUCUGCCUGUACCUGGUCAUGAUGGCCAUAAAUAAUGCUGCUCACCAUGUCUACGUGCUUUGCUACAGAAGGGCUGAAAAAUACUGAGGCAUUAAAGAAAAUGAUAAAGACAAGUCAACCCUAACUUGGAAGUGUCUGUGUCCAUUCAGGCCUGAAAUCCUUCCAGCUGUAACAUCACUAACCAUAAAUGAGCUACAGAGACCAUCUCCAGCUUCCUGCAGUGGUCUCAGCCAGCUGAAUUACAAAGCUGCUUGGUAGGAUCUGGAUAUGAUUGCAUAUAUAAAGGGCUGGUAAAAAUUAGGUUCUAGAAAUGGAUUAGCACAAUUCAUGUGGCCCACAAAGUCUGACUAGAAAGCUACCUUUACACUUUUGGUGCCUAUUACUCUCAUUUAUUCCUACAGUUUCUGAGCCUGAGUGCUUUGUAAAUCCCAACUACAACGUAAAACUAUAAGUUUUCAUCAUGCUAACGAACAGGAACUCUUAAAAUCAGAUCACAAAUAAACAGGAUCCAAAAUGCUUUUUAUUUCUAACAGCGUAUUUACAAUUAUCAUGUUAUUUUCCUUUGAAGAUGACUAUUAAUAUAGUCAUAGAAACAUGGAGUGUCCAUGUUAAUCUAUUCACCGCAGUUCCUAUCCUUUGAAGAAUUAAGAUUAAAAUUCAGCCGUUUUCUGUAGAAAAUAAUCUUUUCUAUCUGUAGUGCUGUCCUCUCAAAUCCAGCACAAAACCUCUGCUCUUCUCUCAAUAGCAGCUGCUGAUUAGAAUCACAGUUCUGGUUUCCUGAGCUACAAAAUCUUGCUAGUUUGUUCUUAGACCUACUUUUUUAGCACAUUGUAUCCAUUAUAAUAGUGUUGUCCCCAUUUUUAAGAGUUUGUGAUUUUUCAGCAGGCUGAUAGCAUCAUGCCUGGAGACAGUCUCUCAUGUAAAGAAUUAUAAGGUCUCUUAUAAGGAAUUAUGUGGCUUUAAGAGCUGUAUGUAUCAAAAUUACCUGUAUUAAUUAGCUUGUGUUUACUAGCUGUGCUAGUAAAGUGUUCAUAAUAUUGCUUAUCAUGAACCUAGUACCAUUAUCUCUAUUUUGCAAACAACAGAACUGAGCCUCAGAGGGUCAAAACCCAGUGUAGGGCUCUUGAGCAGGCCAUACUACUUUUAAUUUCCCCCUGUCCUUCAAACUGCAGGUAGCUUGGAGAAGGAGCUAUCCAAGCAAACAUGUUUGAUAAGAAAUGCCUUCUGUGAAGCUGCAGGAGUCUUGCCUUGACUGUAAGGCCAUGAUAUCUGGAACAGAGGACUCUUACUUAAACCUAUUUUGCUGCCUGAAGAGCCAAAAUCCCCUGUAUUUUCAGUUUACUAUUCAAACUGGGACUUACAGCUUUUUAGUGAUGACCUGAUGAGCCACAUUCCAUCAUCAGCUGAGUGCCUUGGUGGAUUUUCCCCCUCAGAUGCCGUAAGGAAAGUUCUUCCUGAUUUGACAAGAUAUAGUCUUUAAUGCAUUCAGCCUACAAAUAGGCUGCUUUCUGGGAUUCCCUAUGGAUAACAGACCAGAUUUCAGACCAUGUGGAAGAUAUAAUUUUCUUCAAAUUGCAUCCAGCACAUUAAUGAUGAUAUGCAUUGAGAUGUUUCCUUCCAUUCAUCUUGCUGCACAGUAGUAGAGAGAUGAUGCUGUCUCUUUCUGGUGAGGACGAAGCAGAGCAAUAGUCUAGAGACUUCAGGCACUCAGUUUGGUAUUCAUGUAUUCUUUUCUUUAUGAUUCAACUAAUCAAAACAGUUCUUCCAUUUUAACUGUCUGCUGAAAGUCAGGAUUUUGGGGAGGAUCAUUGAAAUACCAAGUGCAAGAGGUGAUUUUGUUGCUGCCCACCUGCAGCUCUUCAGAGAUUUUCACAGAUUUCCUCUGAUAGCCAAGAUUGAUAAAGUUGUCACCUUUUCUUUUUCCCCUACUUGACUGUAGCUGGUGUUGCAGUGACUCGCUCAAAAUCAAUCAGACCAUUUUGUAUGAUGAUCUUAAUUGUAUUAUCCACUAGCUUUUCAAAUGACUAUUUCUGUCUUCAAGUGUGGCUCACAGAAUGAUUAAUGUAAUUCAAUGAAUUAUGCACUCUACAGAAAGAUAUCAUUUCAAUCCAAGCUAGUUGAACAGAGCACUGUGGUGAUCUGCAAAAUGUUUGCAUUUACAACACACCAGAGACAUUCAAGUAAUAUUUCCUACACAGCGUUCCAGUAAGCAUGACACUGAAGUUCUCUUCUAUGAGAAUCCCUCAGGAGUACAACAAUCUGAUUCCUUCCAAAGGUUUCAUAGAGUUGCUCUCCUCCAAGUACUGAUUUCUCCAGGACCGGCUGUGCUGAAGACUCCAGAUUUGUUAGGCUGCUGAUGUCGCAGAAGCCUCUGCUGCUGGUUGUUUAUUCUAGGAUUAGCUAAAAUUAGAAGUUGACCCUGUGUUCCUUGGCUAAUUUGAAGGCAAAAAUACAGUUUACUGAUUCUGUUAAUCUUUCUGGAAAAAUGUGGUCUCUAAAGUCAAAGCUAAGAAGAUAUCUUUCUUGAGUCAGGUCUUAAAUGAUCUCAAAAUGAAAGUGUCUUUGACAACUUACGUAUAUGAGCAAUAACUCCUGAACAGAUUCCAAGGUAAGUCCUUAACAUGCUAUGUUUCACACCUGGAGAAUAUUAGGAAUUUUAAAGAUCAAGAAGAUGUCAAAGCCUUGUUUUAAGUGCUCGAAAACAGCUGGAUAAAGUCAAUGAGUGACAAACCUUUCAUUUGUUGCCUGUACUAAAAGCAAAUGAAUAGUUACUCUUUCCAUUUUUGAGUGGUCUUUAUACCUAAAAAACAUGAAUACUGAUUCUUUCCUAUCACUGAGUAGGGAAGAUCCAUUACAGAUAUUGCAAGUGUCUAAAAUGCUGAAAUUAAGAUAUUGAAAAAUCUGUUGAAGCUUUUCCUUUAUUUCAGUUUUUUUUGUUUUCUCAGACAGCCUCUGGAAAAAUGUACCUGAAUCAUUGUUUAAUUUUGCUAACUUCUCUGAUACCUCUGGCUGGAAAUGCUUUGAAAAAUAAAAUAAUAAUGCAGUUGAA